Magnolia sinica is the source of this 1654-nucleotide RNA transcript. RefSeq lists it as uncharacterized. The transcript has 6 exons. NCBI's taxonomy places the organism in Eukaryota, Viridiplantae, Streptophyta, Magnoliopsida, Magnoliales, Magnoliaceae. The record is from RefSeq and is a predicted model, not a curated record.
ACGCAACCCAUGGGCCUUGACAACCAAUCAAACCCGACCGGAAACCCGGUUGGGUUAAUUGCGUUUGGGUAGCCCUACUUCCGUACCUCCACCUAUCCAAAAACCGCGGUUCCACUUCCACCCUCUCCUUCGCGCCAAACGAAAACAUUCGUCUCGCGCCAAAGUACGGAAACGUCUGCUCUCUCUCUCUGAGAUGAGCACUCGCAAAACCCUUGUUCUCACAUCCCUCUCUUCCUUCAAAGGGGGAGUUGCUAGAAGAAGACGAAGAGGAAUAACCCAAUUCAUCUCUCUCCAAUACUUCCCAUCCAUCCCUCCAACUCUCUGCUUCCGAUCUCUUCCCUUUCGAAACCAGUCUCCUUCCUUCUCCAUCCCCUCCUUCUCUUUCUCCCACGCAGCAGCCCCCAAAGAAUCCUCCUCCGAAGACCACUCCUCGUCAAAGGACACUGUCGAGGAGCUGCUCGCCAAUGCCGAUGACGUCAACCGUCUUAUGAAGAUGGAGAGGAUAUCCGAAACGGACUGCCGAUAUGAUUUUGCGGCCACUCCCGUGAAGGGACGACGUUGGUUCCCCUACCUGGACAUGUUCCGAUCGGGGAACACGUGGCUGACGAGCGGAGAAGUGAUAGAUGCGCUGGACCCGUAUAUAAUGGAUGUGAGGAAGGAGAGGAUUCGGACGGUGGUGGAGAACAGGACCUACUCUGUGUGCUUGGUGGUUGAGGGCCUGGUCGAUUUCGGAAACGUGUCGGCCGUGUUCCGGUCUGCCGAUGCUCUAGGAUUUCAGUCUGUCCACGUAGUCUCAUGCGACAGCACGAAAAGGUAUAGAGACAAUCGUCAUGUUAGCAUGGGUGCUGAGAAAUGGUUGGAUAUUGAACUUUGGCAGUCCACUCGAGAGUGCUUCAAGGCGUUGAAAUCACGUGGUUACCGCAUUGCCACGACACACUUGGGAACUAAUGUGGUUUCAGUUUAUGACAUGGACUGGUCAUGUCCAACUGCAAUAGUUGUCGGAAACGAACACAGUGGCAUAAGUGACGAGGCCCUGGAACUGUCUGACUUGCAUUGUAGCAUUCCUAUGAAAGGGAUGGUGGACUCUUUCAACGUUUCAGUUGCUGCAGGCAUCCUCAUGCACCAUGCAGUUUGUGAUAGAGUGUCUCGGCUGGGUUCCCAUGGUGAUCUGACACUUGAAGAAUCCCAGAUCCUACUCGCAGAGUUCUCUUUGCGUCACAGCAAAAGUGCAAUCAGCAUUGCCCAUGAGUAUGCAAAGCGUAAGUUGGAGAAUCCCAUUUCUAAGCAUUGACUAGAUUUGGCAGUGUGAUCCACAAACCUAGUUCUGAAGAUGUCAGAUGUUCAUCUACAGCUAUGGAGCAUCAUGCAGGUAAGCUGCUGUGGAGUGCAAAAAUCCUGACCCUUCCUGGUUGAGAAAUUGCAGAUGAACUCAAGCACGCCACAUAUUGAUGCUAACUAUGAAAAGUCAAAUCAAGAGGCGUGAUAUCAUUGAUUUGGCUUUUAUUUUGAUUAAAUUAGAUUAUGGAUCAAUAGAUAGCUUUGUUCAAAGGACGUGUGUCAAAAAAACGAGUUACAGCAAUCUUUGCUGUAGAUUCAUCUGAAAAAUUUUCAUCUUCUUGCUUUGCCUUAAUUUAUUCUUCACUUCCUAUGGCAA